UCAGCUCCCUCGCCGUCACCGGCCUCCUGUACGUCCUCACCUUCCCGUCGCUCCCCACCAGCCUCACCGCCGCCGCCUCCCGCUUCUCCUCCUCCUCCUCCUCCUCCUCCUCCCGCGGCGGGGAGGGGCACGGCGACGGCGCGGGCGGCUGCGGGAAGCAGGAGG
RNAcentral lists this small RNA (165 nucleotides) under Oryza sativa Japonica Group (Japanese rice). RNAcentral's name for it is "sRNA Os11g0536400". Lineage: Eukaryota; Viridiplantae; Streptophyta; Magnoliopsida; Poales; Poaceae. The record is from RNAcentral.